ACACAUGCAAGUCGAACGAGAGAGAGGAAGCUUGCUUCCUCAAUCGAGUGGCGAACGGGUGAGUAACGCGUGAGGAACCUGCCUCAAAGAGGGGGACAACAGUUGGAAACGACUGCUAAUACCGCAUAAGCCCACGGGUCGGCAUCGACCAGAGGGAAAAGGAGCAAUCCGCUUUGAGAUGGCCUCGCGUCCGAUUAGCUGGUUGGUGAGGUAAUGGCCCACCAAGGCGACGAUCGGUAGCCGGACUGAGAGGUUGAACGGCCACAUUGGGACUGAGACACGGCCCAGACUCCUACGGGAGGCAGCAGUGGGGAAUAUUGCACAAUGGGGGAAACCCUGAUGCAGCGACGCCGCGUGGAGGAAGAAGGUCUUCGGAUUGUAAACUCCUGUUGUUGAGGAAGAUAAUGACGGUACUCAACAAGGAAGUGACGGCUAACUACGUGCCAGCAGCCGCGGUAAAACGUAGGUCACAAGCGUUGUCCGGAAUUACUGGGUGUAAAGGGAGCGCAGGCGGGAAGACAAGUUGGAAGUGAAAUCUAUGGGCUCAACCCAUAAACUGCUUUCAAAACUGUUUUUCUUGAGUAGUGCAGAGGUAGGCGGAAUUCCCGGUGUAGCGGUGGAAUGCGUAGAUAUCGGGAGGAACACCAGUGGCGAAGGCGGCCUACUGGGCACCAACUGACGCUGAGGCUCGAAAGUGUGGGUAGCAAACAGGAUUAGAUACCCUGGUAGUCCACACCGUAAACGAUGAUUACUAGGUGUUGGAGGAUUGACCCCUUCAGUGCCGCAGUUAACACAAUAAGUAAUCCACCUGGGGAGUACGACCGCAAGGUUGAAACUCAAAGGAAUUGACGGGGG
RNAcentral lists this ribosomal RNA (855 nucleotides) under uncultured bacterium. RNAcentral's name for it is "bacterial SSU rRNA". It matches the Rfam family "Bacterial small subunit ribosomal RNA", at positions 51 to 919 of the family's 1533-position model. The record is from RNAcentral.